RNAcentral lists this long non-coding RNA (799 nucleotides) under Spirodela polyrhiza (greater duckweed). RNAcentral describes it as "long non-coding RNA (SPOL_LNC001379)". Lineage: Eukaryota; Viridiplantae; Streptophyta; Magnoliopsida; Alismatales; Araceae. The record is from RNAcentral.
UGGUGUUGCCGUGCAUCGGGUCGCUGACCCAGGUGACGACGAGGCCGGCGCGGCGGACGGCGCGGAUGAGGUGGGGGAGCUUGACCCGCAUGUUCUCGGCGCCCAUGCGGGUGAUGACGGUGAUGCGGCCCGGCUUGUUGUGGGGGUUGAGGAUCUCAAUGAGCUUGAUGAGCUCGGAGGGGUUCAUCUUGUCGCUGACCUUGAUGCCGAGGGGGUUGCCGACGCCGCGGAGGAACUCGACGUGGGCGCCGCCCAGCUGGCGGGUGCGCUCGCCGACCCAGAUCAUGUGGGCGGAGCAGUCGUAGAAGGUGCCGGUGGUGGAGUCCUCCCUGGUGAGGGCCUGCUCGUAGGGGAGGAGGAGGCACUCGUGGGAGGUCCAGAACUCGGUGGUGGUCAUGAUGGGGUGGUCCAUCGUCAGCCCCGCCGCCGCCAUGAACCCCAGGGCUUCGUCCACACGGUGGGCCAGCUCCCGGUACCUGAAGAGAGGGGAGUCAGCGUCGGAGAAGGGACGGCGUGCGCUGUCGCGGGUUCGAUCGGGAGGAGGUUGCUGCUGCUCACCGGUCGCCCUGCUCGCUGUGCUCGGUGAAGUCGAGGUUCCACUGGGUGACGCGCUGCAUGGCGGCGUAGCCGCCGGUGGCGAAGGCGCGCAGGAGGUUGAGGGUGGCGGCCGACUGGCAGUAGGCGCGAAUCAUCCUGUGCGGGUCAGGCAUGCGGGACUUCUCGUCGAAGUUGUCGCCGUUGAUGAUGUCCCCCUUGUAGCUCGGCAGCUUCACGCCGUCCUUCUCCUCUAAGGCGGCCG